This 146-nucleotide small RNA is filed under the name Desulfitobacterium metallireducens. Its description in RNAcentral is "c-di-AMP sequence". It matches the Rfam family "c-di-AMP riboswitch aptamer (ydaO/yuaA leader)". Rfam says of the family: This family represents a conserved RNA structure found upstream of the ydaO and yuaA genes in Bacillus subtilis and related genes in other bacteria. RNAcentral also lists the same sequence under 1 other name. Lineage: Bacteria; Bacillati; Bacillota; Clostridia; Eubacteriales; Desulfitobacteriaceae. The record is from RNAcentral.
AUAAAGCCAGCGCUGAAUUCUAUGGAAGCGGGGGAACCAAGUCUGGGCUAUCAAUUAGCCAAAUGGGGUGAAUCACUGAAUGUGACGGGUUAUUCCUUUCAAUCCGAAUCCGACAGCUAACCUCGUAAGCGUUGAAAGGGGGUUAA